This 253-nucleotide ribosomal RNA is filed under the name uncultured bacterium. RNAcentral's name for it is "partial 16S ribosomal RNA". It matches the Rfam family "Bacterial small subunit ribosomal RNA", at positions 524 to 776 of the family's 1533-position model. The record is from RNAcentral.
UACGGGGGGGGCAAGCGUUGUUCGGAAUUACUGGGCGUAAAGGGCUCGUAGGUGGCCAACUAAGUCAGACGUGAAAUCCCCCGGCUUAACCGGGGAAUGGCGUCCGAUACUGGAUGGCUUGAAUUCGGGAGAGGGAUGCAGAAUUCCAGGUGUAGCGGUGAAAUGCGUAGAUAUCUGGAGGAAUACCGGUGGCGAAGGCGGCAUCCUGGACCGACAUUGACGCUGAGGAGCGAAAGCCAGGGGAGCAAACGGG